This 2786-nucleotide ribosomal RNA is filed under the name Salmonella enterica. RNAcentral's name for it is "partial 23S ribosomal RNA". It matches the Rfam family "Bacterial large subunit ribosomal RNA". RNAcentral also lists the same sequence under 1 other name. The record is from RNAcentral. Lineage: Bacteria; Pseudomonadati; Pseudomonadota; Gammaproteobacteria; Enterobacterales; Enterobacteriaceae.
GGGUUGUGAGGUUAAGCGACUAAGCGUACACGGUGGAUGCCCUGGCAGUCAGAGGCGAUGAAGGGCGUGCUAAUCUGCGAUAAGCGCCGGUAAGGUGAUAUGAACCGUUAUAACCGGCGAUACCCGAAUGGGGAAACCCAGUGUGACUCGUCACACUAUCAUUAACUGAAUCCAUAGGUUAAUGAGGCGAACCGGGGGAACUGAAACAUCUAAGUACCCCGAGGAAAAGAAAUCAACCGAGAUUCCCCCAGUAGCGGCGAGCGAACGGGGAGGAGCCCAGAGCCUGAAUCAGCAUGUGUGUUAGUGGAAGCGUCUGGAAAGGCGCGCGAUACAGGGUGACAGCCCCGUACACAAAAGCGCAUGUGCUGUGAGCUCGAUGAGUAGGGCGGGACACGUGGUAUCCUGUCUGAAUAUGGGGGGACCAUCCUCCAAGGCUAAAUACUCCUGACUGACCGAUAGUGAACCAGUACCGUGAGGGAAAGGCGAAAAGAACCCCGGCGAGGGGAGUGAAAAAGAACCUGAAACCGUGUACGUACAAGCAGUGGGAGCACCCUUUGGGUGUGACUGCGUACCUUUUGUAUAAUGGGUCAGCGACUUAUAUUCUGUAGCAAGGUUAACCGAAUAGGGGAGCCGGAGGGAAACCGAGUCUUAACCGGGCGUUAAGUUGCAGGGUAUAGACCCGAAACCCGGUGAUCUAGCCAUGGGCAGGUUGAAGGUUGGGUAACACUAACUGGAGGACCGAACCGACUAAUGUUGAAAAAUUAGCGGAUGACCUGUGGCUGGGGGUGAAAGGCCAAUCAAACCGGGAGAUAGCUGGUUCUCCCCGAAAGCUAUUUAGGUAGCGCCUCGUGAAUUCAUCUCCGGGGGUAGAGCACUGUUUCGGCUAGGGGGCCAUCCCGGCUUACCAACCCGAUGCAAACUGCGAAUACCGGAGAAUGUUAUCACGGGAGACACACGGCGGGUGCUAACGUCCGUCGUGAAGAGGGAAACAACCCAGACCGCCAGCUAAGGUCCCAAAGUCAUGGUUAAGUGGGAAACGAUGUGGGAAGGCCCAGACAGCCAGGAUGUUGGCUUAGAAGCAGCCAUCAUUUAAAGAAAGCGUAAUAGCUCACUGGUCGAGUCGGCCUGCGCGGAAGAUGUAACGGGGCUAAACCAUGCACCGAAGCUGCGGCAGCGACACUGUGUGUUGUUGGGUAGGGGAGCGUUCUGUAAGCCUGCGAAGGUGGCCUGUGAGGGUUGCUGGAGGUAUCAGAAGUGCGAAUGCUGACAUAAGUAACGAUAAAGCGGGUGAAAAGCCCGCUCGCCGGAAGACCAAGGGUUCCUGUCCAACGUUAAUCGGGGCAGGGUGAGUCGACCCCUAAGGCGAGGCCGAAAGGCGUAGUCGAUGGGAAACGGGUUAAUAUUCCCGUACUUGGUGUUACUGCGAAGGGGGGACGGAGAAGGCUAUGUUGGCCGGGCGACGGUUGUCCCGGUUUAAGCGUGUAGGUGUGUGUUCCAGGUAAAUCCGGUUCACUUUAACACUGAGGCGUGACGACGAGGCACUACGGUGCUGAAGCAACAAAUGCCCUGCUUCCAGGAAAAGCCUCUAAGCAUCAGGUAACAUCAAAUCGUACCCCAAACCGACACAGGUGGUCAGGUAGAGAAUACCAAGGCGCUUGAGAGAACUCGGGUGAAGGAACUAGGCAAAAUGGUGCCGUAACUUCGGGAGAAGGCACGCUGACACGUAGGUGAAGUGAUUUACUCAUGGAGCUGAAGUCAGUCGAAGAUACCAGCUGGCUGCAACUGUUUAUUAAAAACACAGCACUGUGCAAACACGAAAGUGGACGUAUACGGUGUGACGCCUGCCCGGUGCCGGAAGGUUAAUUGAUGGGGUCAGCGCAAGCGAAGCUCCUGAUCGAAGCCCCGGUAAACGGCGGCCGUAACUAUAACGGUCCUAAGGUAGCGAAAUUCCUUGUCGGGUAAGUUCCGACCUGCACGAAUGGCGUAAUGAUGGCCAGGCUGUCUCCACCCGAGACUCAGUGAAAUUGAACUCGCUGUGAAGAUGCAGUGUACCCGCGGCAAGACGGAAAGACCCCGUGAACCUUUACUAUAGCUUGACACUGAACAUUGAGCCUUGAUGUGUAGGAUAGGUGGGAGGCUUUGAAGUGUGGACGCCAGUCUGCAUGGAGCCGACCUUGAAAUACCACCCUUUAAUGUUUGAUGUUCUAACGUGGACCCGUUACCCGGGUUGCGGACAGUGUCUGGUGGGUAGUUUGACUGGGGCGGUCUCCUCCUAAAGAGUAACGGAGGAGCACGAAGGUUGGCUAAUCCUGGUCGGACAUCAGGAGGUUAGUGCAAUGGCAUAAGCCAGCUUGACUGCGAGCGUGACGGCGCGAGCAGGUGCGAAAGCAGGUCAUAGUGAUCCGGUGGUUCUGAAUGGAAGGGCCAUCGCUCAACGGAUAAAAGGUACUCCGGGGAUAACAGGCUGAUACCGCCCAAGAGUUCAUAUCGACGGCGGUGUUUGGCACCUCGAUGUCGGCUCAUCACAUCCUGGGGCUGAAGUAGGUCCCAAGGGUAUGGCUGUUCGCCAUUUAAAGUGGUACGCGAGCUGGGUUUAGAACGUCGUGAGACAGUUCGGUCCCUAUCUGCCGUGGGCGCUGGAGAACUGAGGGGGGCUGCUCCUAGUACGAGAGGACCGGAGUGGACGCAUCACUGGUGUUCGGGUUGUCAUGCCAAUGGCACUGCCCGGUAGCUAAAUGCGGAAGAGAUAAGUGCUGAAAGCAUCUAAGCACGAAACUUGCCCCGAG